GGCCUUCGGGUUGUAAACUGCUUUUGUACGGAACGAAAAGGCCCUGGUGAACAACCGGGGUUGCUGACGGUACCGUAAGAAUAAGCACCGGCUAACUACGUGCCAGCAGCCGCGGUAAUACGUAGGGUGCGAGCGUUAAUCGGAAUUACUGGGCGUAAAGCGUGCGCAGGCGGACAUGCAAGACAGAUGUGAAAUCCCCGGGCUCAACCUGGGAACUGCAUAUGUGACUGUAUGACUGGAGUACGGCAGAGGGGGAUGGAAUUCCGCGUGUAGCAGUGAAAUGCGUAGAUAUGCGGAGGAACACCGAUGGCGAAGGCAAUCCCCUGGGCCAGUACUGACGCUCAUGCACGAAAGCGUGGGGAGCAAACAGGAUAAAUACCCUGGUAGUCC
RNAcentral lists this ribosomal RNA (390 nucleotides) under uncultured bacterium. RNAcentral describes it as "bacterial SSU rRNA". It matches the Rfam family "Bacterial small subunit ribosomal RNA", at positions 413 to 796 of the family's 1533-position model. The record is from RNAcentral.